GUAGCUCAUGGUUGAAAUGGGGGUCUCUGGCGCUUUCUGAACUUGGUCGUUUGCUUGCAGAUGUUUCAUUGCCCAACUAGGAACAUC
Molecule: non-coding RNA, 87 nt
Organism: Notechis scutatus (mainland tiger snake)
Lineage: Eukaryota; Metazoa; Chordata; Lepidosauria; Squamata; Elapidae
Source: RefSeq, a predicted model, not a curated record